This 448-nucleotide ribosomal RNA is filed under the name uncultured bacterium. Its description in RNAcentral is "bacterial SSU rRNA". It matches the Rfam family "Bacterial small subunit ribosomal RNA", at positions 328 to 793 of the family's 1533-position model. The record is from RNAcentral.
UAACCAGACUCCUACGGGAGGCAGCAGUGGGGAAUAUUGCACAAUGGGGGAAACCCUGAUGCAGCGACGCCGCGUGAGCGAUGAAGUAUUUCGGUAUGUAAAGCUCUAUCAGCAGGGAAGAAAAUGACGGUACCUGACUAAGAAGCCCCGGCUAACUACGUGCCAGCAGCCGCGGUAAUACGUAGGGGGCAAGCGUUAUCCGGAUUUACUGGGUGUAAAGGGAGCGUAGACGGUCCUGCAAGCCAGAUGUGAAAGCCCGGGGCUCGACCCCGGGACUGCAUUUGGAACUGUAAGGCUAGAGUGUCGGAGAGGCAGGCGGAAUUCCUAGUGUAGCGGUGAAAUGCGUAGAUAUCAGGAGGAACACCGGUGGAGAAGGCGGCUUACUGGACAGUGACUGACGUUGAGGCUCGAAAGCGUGGGGAGCGAACAGGAUUAGAUACCCUAGUAA